AUGGCAGCGGCAGCAGAGUCGGACAACGGGAGCGAGGUGGGCCCGACCGGGGACUCGGGGGCGUUCGCUUCGCCGGUGAAGGCGAGGGAGAGGGCGCCGGAGUCGGAGGCCGGCGCCUCGGCGGCGACGGCGUCCGAGUCCUCGGAGACGAGGGUCGACGACGGCAACAUCCAGGAGGCCGAGUCCUCGCUCCGCGAGGGCCUCUCCCUCAACUACGAGGAAGCAAGAGCUCUCCUCGGGAGACUAGAAUAUCAGAGAGGAAAUGUAGAGGCUGCACUUCGAGUAUUUGAUGGAAUAGACCUUCAAGCUGCUAUUCAGCGUUUCCAACCGUCGCUUUCAGAAAAACCAUCUUCCAAGCGGAAUAACAAACUACGGUCAGAUUCAUCGAAUUCAGGAUCACAGCAUGCUGCUAGCCUUGUUCUUGAAGCCAUUUACUUGAAGGCAAUGUCUCUUCAAAAGUUGGGGAAAGCAAUAGAGGCCGCUCAACAGUGUAAAAGCGUCCUUGAUGCUGUUGAAAGUAUCUUCCAACGUGGCAUACCUGAUGUCAUGGUUGAACAAAAGCUGCAGGAAACUGUCAGUAAAUCAGUUGAGCUACUCCCAGAACUUUGGAAGCAAGCUGGGGCUUAUCAAGAAGCACUUGCUUCUUACCGGCGUGCUCUUCUUAGUCAAUGGAAUCUCGACGAUGAAUGCUGCACGAGAAUUCAGAAGAGGUUUUCUGUUUUUCUGUUGUAUGGUGGUGUUGAGGCAAGUCCGCCGAGCUUGGCUUCACAAACCGAAGGUUCAUUUGUCCCUAAGAAUAAUUUGGAAGAGGCAAUCCUGCUGCUCAUGAUACUUUUGAAGAAGUGGUACCUUGGAAAGACUCACUGGGACCCCUCAGUGAUGGAGCAUCUAACCUUUGCAUUGUCACUCUGUGGCCAGACAUCUGUGCUUGCCAAGCAUUUCGAAGAAGUUUUGCCUGGAAUAUACCCUCGAACUGAGAGAUGGUAUAGUCUAGCCCUUUGUUAUUCUGCAGCUUCGGAUGAUGAAGCGGCAUUAAAUUUGCUAAAGAAGUCUUUGAAUAAGAAUGAGAGUCCCAAUGACAUAAAUGCCCUGCUUUUAGCUGCUAAGAUAUGUAGUUCGGACUAUUAUCUUGCUUCCGAGGGUGUAGAGUAUGCAAAGAGAGCAAUCGGUGACGACGAAUUAUUAGAUGGGCAUUUAAGGAGUGUUGGGCUCCAUCUCUUGGGGAGUUGUCUGGCUAAUGAGUCUAAAAUUGCUUCGUCCGAUCAUCAAAGAUCUCUCUUGCAGGCUGAGGCUUUGAAAUCACUUGGUGAAGCAUUUUCCCUUGACCGCCACAACCCAGAUUUAAUAUUUGACAUGGGGGUUGAGUAUGCUGAGCAACGAAACAUGCAGGCUGCACUGAAAUGUGCAAAGCAGUUCAUUGACACAACUGGCGGAUCUGUUUCUAAAGGCUGGAGAUUGCUAUCUUUGGUUCUCUCUGCGCAGCAGAGGUAUUCAGAAGCAGAGGUGGUGACUGAUGCUGCAUUAGAAGAAACUACAAAAUGGGAACAAGGGCCAUUACUUAGAAUAAGGGCUAAACUGAAAGCAGCUCAAUCAUUGCCCAUGGAAGCAGUUGAAGCAUACCGUGCCCUUCUUGCUCUUGUUCAGGCACAACGGAAGGCUUAUGGAUCUUUAAAAAAUGGCACAGAGGAAAGGGAUAAUAAAGUGAGUGAGUUUGAAGUUUGGCAAGGUCUUGCCAACUUGUAUGCUAGUCUUUCGUACUGCAGAGAUGCCGAAAUAUGUUUGCAGAAGGCUAAAGCUCUGAAAACUUAUUCUGCCACAACACUUCAUGCAGAAGGUGACAUGCAUGGGGUCCGUGAGCAAACGCAGCAUGCGCUGGCUGCAUACUUGAAUGCACUCUCAACAGAGGUAGAUCAUGUACCAUCCAAGGUGUCCAUCGGUGCUCUCCUGUCGAAACAAGGGCCCAAGUAUCUCCCGGUGGCGAGGAGCUUCCUGUCGGACGCCCUAAGGCUCGAGCCUACGAACAGGAUGGCCUGGUUCUACCUAGGACAGGUCCACAAGCAUGACGGGAGGCUAGCUGAGGCCGCCGAUUGCUUUCAGGCGGCCUCGAUGCUCGAGGAAUCAGACCCAGUAGAAAGUCUCCGACCGCUCUGA
Molecule: ribosomal RNA, 2151 nt
Filed under: Triticum aestivum (bread wheat)
Lineage: Eukaryota; Viridiplantae; Streptophyta; Magnoliopsida; Poales; Poaceae
Description: partial small subunit ribosomal RNA
Source: RNAcentral